UCGACUGCAUGAAGUCGGAAUCGCUAGUAAUCGCGGAUCAGCAUGCCGCGGUGAAUACGUUCCCGGGUCUUGUACACACCGCCCGUCAAACAAUGGGAGUGGUGUUUACCAGAAGUCGUUAGCCUAACCGCAAGGAGGACGGUGACCACGGUGAGCACCGUGACUAAUGUUAAGUCGUAACAAGGUAGC
Molecule: ribosomal RNA, 189 nt
Filed under: uncultured bacterium
Lineage: Bacteria
Description: partial 16S ribosomal RNA
Rfam family: Bacterial small subunit ribosomal RNA
Source: RNAcentral